UACGUAGGGCACAAGCGUUAUCCGGAAUUAUUGGGCGUAAAGAGCUCGUAGGCGGUUUGUCGCGUCUGCCGUGAAAGUCCGGGGCUUAACCCCGGAUCUGCGGUGGGUACGGGCAGACUAGAGUGCAGUAGGGGAGACUGGAAUUCCUGGUGUAGCGGUGAAAUGCGCAGAUAUCAGGAGGAACACCGAUGGCGAAGGCAGGUCUCUGGGCUGUAACUGACGCUGAGGAGCGAAAGCAUGGGGAGCGAACAGG
This 253-nucleotide ribosomal RNA is filed under the name uncultured bacterium. Its description in RNAcentral is "partial 16S ribosomal RNA". It matches the Rfam family "Bacterial small subunit ribosomal RNA", at positions 524 to 776 of the family's 1533-position model. The record is from RNAcentral.